GAUGAACGCUGGCGGCGUGCCUAAUACAUGCAAGUCGAGCGAACGGACGAGAAGCUUGCUUCUCUGAUGUUAGCGGCGGACGGGUGAGUAACACGUGGAUAACCUACCUAUAAGACUGGGAUAACUUCGGGAAACCGGAGCUAAUACCGGAUGAUAUUUUGAACCGCAUGGUUCAAAAGUGAAAGACGGUCUUGCUGUCACUUAUAGAUGGAUCCGCGCUGCAUUAGCUAGUUGGUAAGGUAACGGCUUACCAAGGCAACGAUGCAUAGCCGACCUGAGAGGGUGAUAGGCCACACGGGAACGGAGACACGGACCAGACUCCUACGGGAGGCAGCAGUAGGGAAUCUGCCGCAAUGGGCGAAAGCCUGACGGAGCAAGGCCGCGUGAGUGAUGAAGGUCUUCGGAGCGUAAAAAUCUGUUAUGAGUGAAGAACAUAUGUGUAAGUAACUGUGCACAGCGUGACGGUACCUAAUCAGAAAGCCACGGCUAACUACGUG
This 497-nucleotide ribosomal RNA is filed under the name uncultured bacterium. RNAcentral describes it as "partial 16S ribosomal RNA". It matches the Rfam family "Bacterial small subunit ribosomal RNA", at positions 28 to 507 of the family's 1533-position model. The record is from RNAcentral.